Molecule: ribosomal RNA, 429 nt
Filed under: uncultured bacterium
Lineage: Bacteria
Description: bacterial SSU rRNA
Rfam family: Bacterial small subunit ribosomal RNA
Source: RNAcentral
UCGAGGAUUAUUCGCAAUGGGCGAAAGCCUGACGAUGCGACGCCGUGUGAAUGAUGAAGGCCUUCGGGUUGUAAAGUUCUUUCGCUUAAGAACAAGAAAGAUUGUUUAAUAAACGACCAAUUUGAGGGUAUUAGGUAAAGAAGCACCGGCUAACUCCGUGCCAGCAGCUGCGGUAAUACGGAGGGUGCAAGCAUUAAUCGGAAUUAUUGGGCGUAAAGGGCGCGUAAGUGGGUUUGUAAGUCAGAUGUGAAAUUCCAGGGCUUAACCCUGGAACGGCAUUUGAAACUGCGAAUCUGGAGGGUAGACGGAGAAAGUGGAAUUCCACAUGUAGCGGUGAAAUGCGUAGAUAUGUGGAAGAACACCGGUGGCGAAGGCGACUUUCUAGUUUAUUCCUGACACUGAGGCGCGAAAGCAAGGGGAGCAAACAGG